RNAcentral lists this ribosomal RNA (453 nucleotides) under uncultured bacterium. RNAcentral's name for it is "partial 16S ribosomal RNA". It matches the Rfam family "Bacterial small subunit ribosomal RNA", at positions 29 to 507 of the family's 1533-position model. The record is from RNAcentral.
AUGAACGCUGACAGAAUGCUUAACACAUGCAAGUCAACUUGAACUUCGGUUUGGGUGGCGGACGGGUGAGUAACGCGUAACGAACUUGCCUCACAGCUAGGGACAACAUUUGGAAACGAAUGCUAAUACCUGAUAUUAUGAUUUUAGGGCAUCCUAGAAUUAUGAAAGCUAUAUGCGCUGUGAGAGAGCUUUGCGUCCCAUUAGCUAGUUGGAGAGGUAACGGCUCACCAAGGCGAUGAUGGGUAGCCGGCCUGAGAGGGUGAACGGCCACAAGGGGAAUGAGACACGGCCCUUACUCCUACGGGAGGCAGCAGUGGGGAAUAUUGGACAAUGGACCAAGAGUCUGAUCCAGCAAUUCUGUGUGCACGAUGAAGUUUUUCGGAAUGUAAAGUGCUUUCAGUUGGGAAGAAAAAAAUGACGGUACCAACAGAAGAAGUGACGGCUAAAUACGUG